GUGUGUGGCUCAGCGGUAGAACGCUCACCUAGCACGUGUGAGGCCCUGGGUUCGAUCCUCAGCAACACA
RNAcentral lists this transfer RNA (69 nucleotides) under Marmota monax (woodchuck). RNAcentral's name for it is "tRNA.Ala". It matches the Rfam family "tRNA". Rfam says of the family: Transfer RNA (tRNA) molecules are approximately 80 nucleotides in length. Their secondary structure includes four short double-helical elements and three loops (D, anti-codon, and T loops). Further hydrogen bonds mediate the characteristic L-shaped molecular structure. tRNAs have two regions of fundamental functional importance: the anti-codon, which is responsible for specific mRNA codon recognition, and the 3' end, to which the tRNAs corresponding amino acid is attached (by aminoacyl-tRNA synthetases). tRNAs cope with the degeneracy of the genetic code in two manners: having more than one tRNA (with a specific anti-codon) for a particular amino acid; and 'wobble' base-pairing, i.e. permitting non-standard base-pairing at the 3rd anti-codon position. Lineage: Eukaryota; Metazoa; Chordata; Mammalia; Rodentia; Sciuridae. The record is from RNAcentral.